GACGAACGCUGGCGGCGUGCUUAACACAUGCAAGUCUGGGGGCGGGGCGACCCGUCGCCGGCGAACGGGUGCGGAACACGUGAGCGACCUGCCCUGUGUGUGGGGGAUAGCCGGCCCAACGGCCGGGUAAUACCGCAUACGUCCCGCGCUUGGAGGCGCUGGGAGAAAGCCCGGAAGGGCGCACGAGGAGGGGCGCGCGGCCGAUCAGCUAGUUGGGGGGGUAACGGCUCACCAAGGCGACGAUGGGUAGCUGGGCGGAGAGGACGGCCCGCCACGUGGGGAGUGAGGCACGGCCCAGACGCCGACGGGAGGCAGCGGGGGGGAAGGGUGGAAAAUGGGCGCAAGCCUGAUCCAGCCAUGCCGCGUGCAGGAAGAAGGCCUUCGGGUGGUAAACUGCGUUGGUACGGAACGAAACGGCGCUGGGUAAUACCCGGGGCUAAUGACGGUACCGGAAGAAUAAGCACCGGCUAACUA
Molecule: ribosomal RNA, 474 nt
Filed under: uncultured bacterium
Lineage: Bacteria
Description: partial 16S ribosomal RNA
Rfam family: Bacterial small subunit ribosomal RNA
Source: RNAcentral